Molecule: small nuclear RNA, 104 nt
Organism: Ochotona curzoniae (black-lipped pika)
Lineage: Eukaryota; Metazoa; Chordata; Mammalia; Lagomorpha; Ochotonidae
Source: RefSeq, a predicted model, not a curated record
GUGCUCACUUCGGCAGCACACAUACUAAAAUUGGAAUGAUACAGAGGUUAGCACGGCCUCUGCCGAAGGAUGAAAUGCAAAUUCAUGAAGUAUUCUAUAUUAAA